UUGAAAGGGAAACGAUUGAAGUCAGUCGUACCGACGAGAAAUCAGCUUAUCGUGUGUUUACUUGUGGGCGUGCGUGAGUUUCGGCCUCGCUGUUUGCAUGUUUGUGCGCUUUGGGUGUACUUUUUCGUAUGGUUGGCCAACAUCAGUUUCGAUCACUAUAAAAUGACUGGCGGAAUGUAGCUUCGAUUUCGGUUGAAGUGUUAUAGCCUCUGGUAGAUGUGGUAAUUGGGACUGAGGAUUGCAACGAAUAUCCUUUGGGCUAUCCGUCUGGCCUCUGAAAGUUGCUUGGGUGCUGAAAGCUUGCUUAUGGUUAUCUAAGUUAACGGUCAAUAGGUUAGAACGCGAUUACAUUCGUUAAGGAUGUUGACGUA
This 371-nucleotide ribosomal RNA is filed under the name uncultured Glomeromycotina. Its description in RNAcentral is "eukaryotic LSU rRNA". The record is from RNAcentral. Lineage: Eukaryota; Fungi; Glomeromycota.